AAUGUGCCUUUGGAUUGGCCAUAUGGAGAGCAGGAAGCGGAGAAGGCCUGGUUGGCGUGAGGGCGCCGCUGUGAGGAACCGCGCUAUAGAGACCCGGCAGAGGGGACUGGAGCCGGAGACCAAGCAACGCCGCUAGCGUGCACAUGACAGGAGAAGCAUUCUGAGGAGACUAAGAGGCUGUGAGGAGUGCAGUGAGCGCUGAGAAUCUGCAUUUUCUUGCCCCAAAUCUGCCUUUCAUCCUAGUCUCUGAGGGCACACAUAGGACAAACUUCAUGAUCUACUGCUGGUGACAGAACUUAGGUCUCUAUGCCAUUCCUUGACUCAAGGUGGAAUUGAUCCCGGAAUUUACAACAUCACAGUUUGUCACAGGAAUUAUACACUCCGGAUAUGUUAAACUGACUCUUUAAUAAAGCAGUUAAAGAUAACACAACAGUCUUCUUCAGUGAAAUCUCUUAAGACAGAAAAAACACGGUUUUAUUCAACUGUAUCUGUGAACACAGCGACCUCUUCACCGAACUCUAUCCAAAACCAUCCUAAAUAAAGUUUCUGCUGAAGUGGCCCGUAAAACCUACGAUUUGACUAACCAGAGUCACCUUGAUGAAAUAAGAGAUUUGCUGCAGAAUAACGACGAGGGAGACCCAUCAAUCACUGAGGAUAUGGGGUAAGAGAGUGACAUUGAUUCUGAAGAUGAGGUGGAGGAACAUGACGGUGAUUCAGGAAUGGAGCAAGAUUGUGAGGAGUCUAGUGAUGAUGAUGGAGAAGAAACAGGUGACACCUUUUUGUGGGGGAAAGAUAAGAAGACCAAGUGGUCCAAAAGGCAACUCGGGAAAGUUUGUCGUAUGGGAACUCAAAACAUUAUAAUUUCCUGGAGUCAGAGGAAAUGCUAAAGGGGGGUACUCACGGAGCGAUAUUCUAAGCAAUCUGAGUAGAUUGCUUAGAAUAUAAGCCUGAUCGCUCUGUGUGUACCCCUUACAGCGAUAGCAAUGCGCAGCCCCGCGCAUCGCUAUCGCUGCUGGUAGAUUGGCCAAUCUGGCGGGUCUCUCACUUCACCCGCUGGGUGAAAUGAGCGUCCCCCCCCCCCCCGUCUCCCCCCGCACGCUCAGCACACUGCGCUGUGCUGAGCGGCGGGAGAGAUGUGUGCUGAGCGGUUCGCU
Molecule: long non-coding RNA, 1154 nt
Organism: Pseudophryne corroboree (corroboree frog)
Lineage: Eukaryota; Metazoa; Chordata; Amphibia; Anura; Myobatrachidae
Exons: 4
Source: RefSeq, a predicted model, not a curated record